GUUGCAAUUCGUUCCAUCGCUCCGCUUUGUCGGAGAGGAAAGUCCGGACACCGAAGAGCGCCAUACCCUGAGAAACCAGGGGCAGUUGUUGGGAGACUGGCAAUUGACAGAUAGGGCCGCAGAAAGUAUACCGCCGUUUUCAAUUUUAUUGGAAAAGGUAAGGGUGAAAAGGUGCGGUAAGAGCGCACCAGUAGGGUUGGCAACAGCCUUAGCUUGGUAAACCUUUUGGGGUGAAAGGCCAAAUAAACCCGGGUUUGAGGGCUGCUCGUCCAAACCGGGAGGGUAGGUCGUAUAGACAAAUGAUGGAUUAAAACAGAAUCCGGCUUAUUAAGGUUGUAGCAUUU
This 344-nucleotide RNase P RNA is filed under the name bacterium SCSIO 12741. Its description in RNAcentral is "RNase P RNA component class A". It matches the Rfam family "Bacterial RNase P class A". Rfam says of the family: Ribonuclease P (RNase P) is a ubiquitous endoribonuclease, found in archaea, bacteria and eukarya as well as chloroplasts and mitochondria. The record is from RNAcentral.